Molecule: ribosomal RNA, 433 nt
Filed under: uncultured bacterium
Lineage: Bacteria
Description: partial 16S ribosomal RNA
Rfam family: Bacterial small subunit ribosomal RNA
Source: RNAcentral
AACGAACGCUGGCGGCAUGCCUAACACAUGCAAGUCGAACGAGACCUUCGGGUCUAGUGGCGCACGGGUGCGUAACGCGUGGGAACCUGCCCUUAGGUUCGGAAUAACUCCCCGAAAGGGGUGCUAAUACCGGAUAAUGUCUUCGGACCAAAGAUUUAUCGCCUUUGGAUGGGCCCGCGUUGGAUUAGCUAGUUGGUAGGGUAAAAGCCUACCAAGGCGACGAUCCAUAGCUGGUCUGAGAGGAUGAUCAGCCACACUGGGACUGAGACACGGCCCAGACUCCUACGGGAGGCAGCAGUGGGGAAUAUUGGACAAUGGGCGAAAGCCUGAUCCAGCAAUGCCGCGUGAGUAAUGAAGGCCUUGGGGUUGUAAGGCUCUUUUACCCGGGAUGAUAAUGACAGUACCGGGAGAAUAAGCUCCGGCUAACUCCGUG